RNAcentral lists this ribosomal RNA (599 nucleotides) under Salmonella enterica. RNAcentral describes it as "partial 23S ribosomal RNA". It matches the Rfam family "Bacterial large subunit ribosomal RNA", at positions 590 to 1190 of the family's 2925-position model. The record is from RNAcentral. Lineage: Bacteria; Pseudomonadati; Pseudomonadota; Gammaproteobacteria; Enterobacterales; Enterobacteriaceae.
UGUGUGACUGCGUACCUUUUGUAUAAUGGGUCAGCGACUUAUAUUCUGUAGCAAGGUUAACCGUAUAGGGGAGCCGGAGGGAAACCGAGUCUUAACCGGGCGUUAAGUUGCAGGGUAUAGACCCGAAACCCGGUGAUCUAGCCAUGGGCAGGUUGAAGGUUGGGUAACACUAACUGGAGGACCGAACCGACUAAUGUUGAAAAAUUAGCGGAUGACCUGUGGCUGGGGGUGAAAGGCCAAUCAAACCGGGAGAUAGCUGGUUCUCCCCGAAAGCUAUUUAGGUAGCGCCUCGUGAAUUCAUCUCCGGGGGUAGAGCACUGUUUCGGCUAGGGGGCCAUCCCGGCUUACCAACCCGAUGCAAACUGCGAAUACCGGAGAAUGUUAUCACGGGAGACACACGGCGGGUGCUAACGUCCGUCGUGAAGAGGGAAACAACCCAGACCGCCAGCUAAGGUCCCAAAGUCAUGGUUAAGUGGGAAACGAUGUGGGAAGGCCCAGACAGCCAGGAUGUUGGCUUAGAAGCAGCCAUCAUUUAAAGAAAGCGUAAUAGCUCACUGGUCGAGUCGGCCUGCGCGGAAGAUGUAACGGGGCUAAACCAU